Molecule: long non-coding RNA, 1117 nt
Organism: Anolis carolinensis (green anole)
Lineage: Eukaryota; Metazoa; Chordata; Lepidosauria; Squamata; Anolidae
Exons: 3
Source: RefSeq, a predicted model, not a curated record
UCGCUUUAACAUGGCUGUGCUUUGCCCUAUUUUCAGUUGUGAGCUAUCAACAUAAUUCACCCCAGAGGCAUUUAAAGGGAGUGCCUAAUGGUUUUCCUCCCUCUUCUCCUUUUAGAUUGUUUGCUUCUUCCUCCCUACCACUGUGCAGAAGUCAGGACAGAUUAUUUUAACCUCAUAGUCUGAACAGUGAUCUAAUGGGAGAUAGCUGUGGCAUCUGAGUCCCACCGCUAUUUACUGUCAAUUAGAAUGAAAUCUCAAACAUAUUAGCUUAUUCUGCUCUCCAUUUGCUAUUCUGUGUACAGCAGACAAUGUUUCAUAUCCUGCUCUCUUGCUCUCUCUUUCAAAGAAAACGACACACAAUCUCUCAGAUUCUCAAUAAGAACCCCCAAAAGCCUCUGAACAAAUUAGUGAAUGAGUGAAGAUAAUGGUAAUUCUUUCACACAUUUUUUAAAAAAAGAUUUAUUGAGGCAAUAUAACAAAAAGAAACAGAGGGAGCUGAAAAAUAAAAAAAAUAAAAACAUUAUCCUGGGGCCACAUGUCAUAUGUGCGAGAAACAAGGCAUCGUUUUAAAUAAAUAUCCCUCUGAACUAUCUGUUUUCCAAACAAACCGCCAGCUUUCCAGAAUGUAAAAUGUCAUCAAAAUGUCUUACAUUGAAAAGGUUACAGCCUGAAUUCUGUGUGGGCUGUGGUGCUGGGGGAGCCUGAAUGAAAAUAUAUUCCACAGACAUCUGAGCCUAAAGAGAAACUAAGAGGCUUAAGAGGCUGCCUAUGCCAGCAUCAAAGCAAAUCAGCAAAGCAACCUACAUUAUUUUCAUCCUCAACACACAAAUUAAUAGGUGUUGAAAAUCUCUUUGGCAAGAUACCUUCAAUGCUGAACCCUUUUCUUGAUGCAAAGAAUGAAGACACACAUAAGAGAUGGCAAAGAGAAGAGCUCUAGACUAAUUAUUCAAGAUCUGGAUUGUUAAAAGAACCCACCUUUUACAGACAUUGGAUGCUGGAGAUGCUGGUUGAAAUUACAAUACAAAUAGUAAUUUCUGACCCUGAGGAAACAACCAGUGUCUUGUUGAAGUUGCUAAAAUUCAUGACUGUACUUAAUAAUAUCAGUGCGGAGUCAUCA